GUAAAGUUUCUAUUGAUACUUUAAAAUUUCAACUUAAGUUGUUAUAUUGUUAUUAUUAUUUUACAGCGUAUGUACGUGUUCAUGUGAUUUUUCAUUUUUCGAUUUGCUGUGGCUUUUAUGUCUUAAUUAGUAGUUUGCUGAAGUGUAAUUAGUGUUGAUCGAAUGUUUAAGCAUUUCAUCUAGUUUUCUUGGAGUUGUGCUUGCAAGUGGGAGAUUGACCAGAAAAACUGCUGCAUAAAAUAUGGGAAAAUGAAAACUGAACUCCUGCUGAUUGUUAUUCAUUUUGCAAGCAACUAAAUUAAUGUGCUAGAAUGAAUUCAGAUGAUUAAAUGUAUGCAUACAAGUAACAACCUUUUGAAUACACUCCUAGUUUUCUCUGCUUUGAUAUGUUGCAAGUUCACUUUUCUUUUUCCCAUUAGCUCUUAAGCUUGUUUAAAAUGGAUUUGCAGCUUCAGUUUUUG
RNAcentral lists this unclassified non-coding RNA (461 nucleotides) under Hevea brasiliensis (rubber tree). Lineage: Eukaryota; Viridiplantae; Streptophyta; Magnoliopsida; Malpighiales; Euphorbiaceae. The record is from RNAcentral.